AGGCACCAAGUUAUUUACUCGGUAGAGAUCAUGACUUUGCCCUGGUGUCUGUGCUGCCCCGCACCCUGCUUGUUAACCACGUUAAGACGACUGGCCUGUUAAUUAACUUUAAUUACGAUCAUUUGGCCUCCACCUGCCUGAACCCGAUACCUUACACGGGAACCUGUAUGAUGCUUAAGCACGUAAAGCAGUCACUGUGAAGAAAAUAACAUUUUAAGAAACUUUUCUGUCACAAUUGAUAGAGGAAAAGCCAGUAGAGAAGUGCAUCUUCUUGUGUGUGUGUAUCAUCGUGCCACUUUUUGUAACUCAGCUUAGUAAUGAAGCCACCAUUAUGUCCUCAGUCAGUGAAGUAAAUGUGGAUAUAAAAGAUUUCCUAAUGAGCAUUAAUUUGGAGCAGUAUCUCUUACAUUUCCAUGAGUCUGGUUUUACUACUGUGAAGGACUGUGCAGCAAUAAAUGACAGCCUGCUGCAGAAAAUUGGAAUAUCACCUACAGGUCACCGUAAGAGGAUACUCAAACAGUUACAGAUAAUCUUGUCAAAAAUGCAAGAUAUUCCAAUAUAUGCAAAUGUUCAUAAAACUAAGAAGAAUGAUGACCCUUCAAAGGAUUACCAUGUUCCAUCUUCUGAUCAGAAUAUCUGCAUAGAACUUUCCAAUUCUAGUAGUGUUCAGACAUCUAGCCCACCGCAGUUGGAGACUGUUACAAAAAAUCUUGAAGACAAUGAUGCAAGUGUGGAAAGAAGCCAGUAUCCUCAAUCAGAUGAUAAGCUGUCUCCUCCUAAAUGCGACUUCCCCACUGCAGAGGAACCACACCUGAAUUUGGGUUCUUUGAAUGAUUCUUUAUUUGGUAGUGAAAAUAUUAAAAUAGAAUCGUUGAUUACAAAGAAGACUAUGGAUCACACAAUUGAAGAACAACAAACAGAAAAAGUUAAAUUGAUCACAGAAAAUCUCAGUAAGCUCCCUAAUGCAGACUCUGAAUGCCUUUCUUCUGUUGGCUGUUCAACAUCAGGAACAAAUUCUGGAAAUGGAACAAAUGGUUUAUUAGAAGGAUCACCACCACCAUCCCCAUUCUUUAAGUUUCAAGGAGAAAUGAUUGUAAAUGACUUGUAUGUUCCAUCAUCACCAAUCCUAGCACCUGUGAGAAGUCGUAGCAAAUUGGUUUCAAGACCAUCUCGAUCUUUUCUGCUAAGACAUCGACCUGUACCAGAGAUUCCAGGGUCAACAAAAGGAGUUUCUGGGAGCUAUUUCCGUGAAAGAAGAAAUGUUGCUACCUCAACUGAAAAAUCUGUGGCAUGGCAAAAUUCAAAUGAGGAGAAUUCAUCUUCCAUCUUUCCUUAUGGAGAGACCUUUCUCUUCCAGAGACUAGAAAAUUCCAAGAAGCGAUCUAUAAAGAAUGAAUUUUUGACCCAGGAAGAAGCACUGAAAGGGGAAGCAACUACUGCAACAAACUCUUUUAUCAUCAAAUCAAGCAUAUACGAUAACAGAAAGAAAAUAAGCGAGGACAAGGUGGAAGAUAUUUGGAUACCUCGAGAGGACAAAAACAAUUUUUUGAUAGACACUGCUUCUGAAUCAGAAUACUCAACAGUAGAAGAAUGCUUUCAGAGUUUAAGAAGAAAAAAUUCAAAGGCAUCUAAAUCUAGGACUCAAAAAGCCUUGAUUUUGGACUCCGUUAAUAGGCACAGUUAUCCGUUAAGCUCAACAAGUGGAAAUGCUGAUUCAUCAGCCGUUUCUUCGCAGGCAAUAUCUCCCUAUGCUUGCUUUUAUGGAGCAUCUGCAAAGAAGGUUAAAUCAGGAUGGCUGGAUAAACUCUCUCCUCAAGGAAAACGCAUGUUUCAGAAGAGAUGGGUGAAAUUUGAUGGCCUUAGCAUUUCUUACUACAAUAAUGAGAAGGAGAUGUAUUCGAAAGGAAUAAUUCCCCUUUCUGCUAUAUCAACAGUACGAGUUCAAGGAGACAACAAAUUUGAAGUUGUUACAACACAAAGAACUUUUGUUUUUAGAGUAGAAAAAGAAGAGGAGAGAAAUGACUGGAUCAGCAUACUAUUAAAUGCACUGAAAUCACAAUCCCUUACCUCGCAGUCUCAAGCUGUUGUUACACCUGAGAAAUGUGGAUAUCUUGAACUGAGAGGCUAUAAGGCAAAAAUUUUUACUGUGUUAAGUGGAAACAGUGUGUGGCUUUGCAAAAACGAACAGGAUUUUAAGAGUGGACUUGGUAUUACCAUAAUUCCUAUGAAUGUAGCAAAUGUAAAGCAAGUGGACCGAACUGUGAAACAAUCUUUUGAAAUAAUCACUCCCUAUAGGAGUUUCAGCUUUACAGCCGAGACUGAAAAAGAGAAACAAGACUGGAUUGAAGCUGUGCAGCAAUCAAUAGCAGAAACUCUCUCUGAUUAUGAAGUAGCUGAGAAGAUUUGGUUCAAUGAAUCCAACAGGAGCUGUGCAGAUUGUAAAGCCCCAGAUCCUGACUGGGCAUCCAUCAAUCUCUGUGUUGUCAUCUGUAAGAAGUGUGCAGGACAGCAUAGAUCUUUAGGACCAAAAGAUUCCAAGGUUAGAAGUCUAAAAAUGGAUGCUAGCAUUUGGAGCAAUGAACUCAUCGAGCUUUUUAUUGUCAUUGGAAACAAAAGAGCAAAUGACUUUUGGGCUGGUAAUCUUCAAAAGGAUGAAGAAUUACAUAUGGACUCACCAGUAGAAAAGAGAAAAAACUUUAUUACUCAGAAAUAUAAAGAAGGAAAAUUCAGAAAAACCUUUUUGGCAUCUCUCACCAAAGAAGAAUUAAAUAAGGUAUUCAGUUAAACAUAACAGCAGACAUGGAUUUUAAUGUCUUUUUAAUGAUUUGCCAAGGUUCUUGAGAAAAAGUAAAAAAUCUUAUACUAUCUGACAAAAUUAUUAAUUUUAUUUUAUUUCCUUUUGUGAGAUUAUUUCAGUGGUUUCCCCCUUGUUUCACUUAAGGAUUCGUUGUCAAAAGAGCAUAAAUUCUUCCCCCAUAAUUGAAGUUUCCCGCUAACUCAUGUUGCCACAAUCUGAGGAUUUGGAAGCAAAUGGGGAUCCAGUAAAGUGAAGUCUGAGGACUGAUAUAAUGUGGGAAGAAAGAAUGAGAAGAGAUGUAGAGGCAGCUUAUUAUUUCAAGGC
RNAcentral lists this small RNA (3121 nucleotides) under Pongo abelii (Sumatran orangutan). RNAcentral describes it as "retained intron". The record is from RNAcentral. Lineage: Eukaryota; Metazoa; Chordata; Mammalia; Primates; Hominidae.